UUUCCUGAUUUGACAGGUUUCGUUCAAGUUUACAAGUGUCAUAAUUGAUGCCAUGGGUGUCACAGGAGUUGAACGCGUGUUCAGGAGAUGUUUUGAAGAAACUUAGUCGGUGAUGUGGACCAACGAAGAGGUGUUGCUCACGACUGUUGAAGUUUGUAUACAUGAUCCACUCUGCCAAUGGGCCUUGUCCUCUUGAAGGCUAUACAAAGGAAAAAAGGUGGACCAUGCCUUCUUUCUCUCUAGAUAAAAAAGCUGCUAGAAAUUUGCUCGACAAUGUACCUAUGUAACAAUUAGGAUCAUUUGACAGUGUUUCGUAUCAGCUCAUUGUUUUGUCAGGUGAAAAAAAUGGUGGAAAUCUAUAUUAAGCUUGUUGAACAUAAAUAAAGGAGAUAGGUUUGAUAAUUCUUUAGAAGUAAUAUUUGUUAUCCUUUUUGCGGAACCCAAAGAACAUUUUUGAAACAUAGAUUAAGCUCUUUCUCUUGGGGAUACCGAUAAAAAGGUAACUCUAUCAAGAGAAAUCCGUAGUGUUAAUCAGUUUAACGAAGAAUGAGGAAUGAAUAAACUUGUAUUUUCUAUCGCUUCAAUUUUCUUUGAGAUCCUAGUUUCAGAGGACCUUACAAUCUUUUUUUUCCAAUUACAAUUUGUUUAAAGGUUCUAACAUGCACUGUUUGAUAUGUUUUUCAGGUGGCUAAUGUUUGUUUCAUUUGUUCUAUUGGUUCCUGUGUACAGAACCUGCAUAUCUCUUUUUUCCCAGUAAACUGUUGCACGUGCCAUCCAGUUGCUAGUUCCUUCAACUGCACAGAUUCCUUGAUAUUUUUUUCUGUUUUAUACCUAAUGAGGUCUGUUUGAGAUUUGAUGAUGUUCUUAGUAUUUUUACCUAAUUCUGGUAAAGAAGCGCUAUGUUUGGUGUCACAGGAGUUGAACGCGUGUUCAGGAGAUGUUGUGAAGAAACUUAGUCAGUAACUGAACCACUAUCCGGAAAGUAAAAAUAUGAAUAGGAUACCGAAUACAUAAAUCUAAACCUAUCUAAUUGAAGGUUUUUAUACAUGAUCCUCUCUACCAAUGGGCCUUGUCCCUCUUGAAGGCUUUGCAAAGGCAAAAAAGGUACUUCAUAUCUUUAAAUAUGUUUUUGAUGGUAAAAGAAGAAAAUACAAUGCAUGUGCAUGCUUCCUUUGUGUGAAGGUUACGUAGACUAGAGAACCUCAUUUUACAUGAUUUGCCGGGAGAAAAAUGCCAGCAAAAAAGACUCUAUAUGGUAUUAGUUAUGUAUUCUUACUUGUAUUAGUAAGUUGGAUCCUUCUUGGUGUACAAUAAAUUAUAUCUCCAGUUCUUUGUAAAUUAGUCCCAUGCUUUCUGAUUUCACUAGAAGGCAUGUUUUAUGAAUUACUUCAAUUGAAUCCCAUAAGCUUUUUCUGGUGUGCUUUUGUUUUGUUCGGAUUUAUUGCAACCGUAUCAAUCAGGAUCUUCUUGUAUUCUUGUUUGACGUCAUCUGUGUGAACUUUCGUAGGUAAUUUGUGUAGUUUUAUUUCGAUAUCAGGUGGACCAUGCCUCCUUUCACUCGGGAAAAAAAAGCUGCUAGAAAUUUGCUCGCCAAUGUACAUAUGUAACAAUGUCUGUUUUUUCCUCAUCUUUGGUAUAUCACAGCAUUCUGAACUCUGCUAGUUUUAGGUGUUCAUAUGAUGGCCUAUUGUGGGUUUUGGGUAAGUCUCUGAUGAAUAUUUUUAUGUUUAUGCAGUUGGAUCGUUUUACCCUGUGUUUUGUAUCAUAUCAUUUUUUUGUCAGGUGAAACAAAUCGCGGAAAUUUAUAUUAAGCUUGUUGAGCUUAAAAAAAGGAGAGAGAUACCUAUAAAAAGGUAACUCUUCCUCGUGAAAUCCAUAGUGUUAAUCAGUUUAUUGAAGAAAGAGGAAUGAAUAAACUUGUUAUCGUGUGUACAGAACCUGUAUUUCUCUUUUUUCCCGGCAAACUGUAGCACUUGCCAUUCAAAAAUAGUGGACGACUUUCUUGAAAUGAUAAACAUUUUUCCACAGACAGGGUGAUCAUGUUUUACGAUUCGUUGUAGAAGUCCAGUACAAAACUUCAGCCGCAUUUCGCCAUCGGCAUACCCUUCAUCUUUUGGCUGCACUUGAAGUGCUUACUUGUACUCUUUGUCAUAGAGCUUCAGUUCCUAGUUCCUUCAACUGCGCAAAAUCCCAGAUAUUUUUUUUUUCUGCUGUUUUACCUAAUGAGUUCUGUUUGAGACCUGAUGAUAUCCUUAGUAUUUUCUUUUUCUCCACAUGUUAUUUGUGUAGUUUUUGCUAUUUUUAUUGUGACAUGCUCCAUCAACGCUGAGUCAAACAUCAAACAUUCUGGGCCAUCUCUAGCUUUUAAUUUGCUCCACAGGGUCAUUGUUGAUGCAGAUUCGUCUUUUUACGAUGAUGUCAGAGUAGGUGUUCUACACGCAGAGUUCAAAAUUCUGCUAUAUCAGGAUUUGGAGCCAUUCCUUGGCAUGGACAUUUUUAGAGUUGUUCGCGAAUUUCUAGUUGGGUUACGCGUUCUUCAUGGAACCAUCUAUUCAAGUAGGAUCAUUUUACACUGUGUUUCGUAUCAGCUCAUUUUUUUUGUCAGGCGAGACAAAUGGUGGAAAUCUAUAUUAAGCUUGUUGAGCUUUAAAAAAGGAGAGAGGUUUGAUAAUUCCUUAGAAAUAGUAUUUGUUAUCCUUUUUCUGAGCCCAAAGAACAUUUCUGAAACAUAGAUUAAGCUCUUACUCUUGAGGAUACCGAUAAAAAGGCAACUCUAUCAACAGAAAUCCAUAGUGUUAAUCAGCUUAACAAAGAAUGAGGAAUGAAUAAACUUAUAUUUAUUCACUUCAAUUUUCUUUGAGAUCCUAGUUUCAGAGGACCUUACAAUAUUUUUUUUCUCCAAUUACAAUUUGUUUAAAGUUUCUAACAUGCACUGUUUUAUACGUUUUUCAGGUGGCUAAUGUUUGUUUCAUUUGUUCUAUUGGUUCCUGUGUACAUAUCCUGCAUAUCUCUUUUUUCCCGGUAAAGUGUUGCACGUGCCAUUCUGUUGCUAGUUCCUUCAACUGCGCAGAAUCCUAGAUAUUUUUUCUGUUUUUUACCUAAUGAGGUCUGUUUAAGAUCUGAUGAUAUUCUUAAUGUUUUGUUUUUCUCCACGUGUUAUUUUUGUAGUUUUUGGUCUCAUUAUUGGUUACAUGUUGCAUCAACUCUGAAUCAAACAUCAAAGGUUCUGGGGCAUCUCUAGCUUUGAGUUUGCUCCGCAAGGUCAUUGUUCAUACAGAUUCGUCUCUUUACGAUUAUAUAAGAGUAGGUGUUCUUUACGCAGAGUUAACAAUUCUGGAAAAGAAGUUCUAUGUUUGGUUCCGCUGCCUGGAGAUCUUACUGCAGCUAAUAUUUUGAUACCGAUAAAAAGGUAACUCUACCAAGAGAAAUGUAAAUUUACUUGCUCACUAAUCGACUUUUCGUUUUUAAUUGGUUUCAUUCACUUCUUCUUUAUCUCUUUAUUGACAGGAUAAACAUUUUUCCGCAGAUAAGAAAUCCAGUACAAUUUUCAUGUUGAGUUCUGGUGAAACAAAUGGUGGAACUCUCUAUUAAGCUUGCUGAGCUUUUAACAAGGAGAGAGCUGAAAAUUUUGAAGAGAUACCUUCUUGACAAAUCCGUUAAGAUCAUAGAUUGUUCUCCUACAGCUGAAAAUUCACUCCUUACAGAAGCUCUUGAGGUCACUUGCUCAAGUUUUUACACAAAAUAUACUGACUAUGCAUGGAAUAUGCCAUUUCAAGUGUGUAUUGCCGUCAAAAUCAUCAGCACCUGAUUCUCCUGAUGUCAGUGGAAUCAUGGAUAUGGAUUUAGAUCUAACUGAAUAUACCAAAGGCAUCGAUAUUAUAGUUGAUUUCUCCUGGAUGCCAAACGAAAGACAGAGAAUCUUAUCAGGAACUCUUUUCACCUGAUUAAUUUGAUUUUCUGUUUCCCUUUCGUGCUCUAGUUUAUUCAGUGCUGAAGUAAUGUGCAGUUUCCUUGUUCAUCUUGGUGCAAUGGCGAAUAAAGAUGCUGAAUUUGGUCUCCUCGACUAGUUUUGGCGUGUCAGGCUGAUCAACUGCAUAUGCAAUGUUUUUAUUCCUCCUUAUUUUGUCAUUAAGUAGUGAGGUUACCCGUUUAAAAUUUCUUGCAUUUAAUUUUCAUGGUAGGUUUCAUGAAGAUAAAAAUAUGGCAUACUCUGGUUUUGGAGAGGAAACUUGACAUCUUCGUGUCACGAAAUUGUUCAAUCUAAGAAAAAACCUUUAGUAACGUACGGCUUCAAGGAAAGGAUUAAGGAGAAGUAGGCAAAUAGUCUUCCUGUUAUAUAUUUUUGUGCUUUUCCGUUUUGUUUCCUGCCAGUGACUGUGCUUCUACUUCUUUGUGUUUGAAUUUUUGCAGUAGUCGAUUUUUCUUAAAAGGUUUAGAUUGUUCGUUGCAUAUUUCAUGCUUCUGUUAAUUUCAUGUUUACUUUUUAGUUUAAUUAAAAUUAAUUUCUGUUUAAAUUUAUAUAGACAAUGAUUUAGAGACUUCUUUUGAUGUCAGAAAAUUGGUGGUGAGUUUCAUGUUUAUUUCUUUAGAGGUAGAACCGUUCAUGUUUCUUACUUCUAAGGUAGAACUUCUGUCGUAUCGAGGUUCGGGCCAGAGGGUUAGAUUGUUUUUAGAAAUUUGUUGUGGAAGAUGGAGAAAUAUGUUAUUCUACCUUUGUUGUGUAGAGAAAAUAUCUAGGGGUAAAAAAUAGAAUGGUCAUGUUGGUCCUGUUUUACAAAAGUUAAAUCUCCUCGCAUGUUUUCUGAUGCCAAGCUUCUACUCUACUAUAUGUGCUACGUGUUUAAUUUUAUGGUAAUCUUCUUUCCUUUUAAGUUCUUGUCAUUGUCAUGUUUUGCAUUGCGAGUACCACCCUCUAAGUAGCCAGUGUGUGAUUUGGACUCUAGAGUCGAUUUGUAAAUCGUAAACCGGAACAGAUCUGCAGUGAGUGUUUAUAAACAUUGUGUGGUCUGGAGUCGAUUUUUGGGGAUUAUAUCAUCAAUGGAAGUCCUUUGUCAAGGCUGAUGUUUGUGGGUCCCGUUUUUGGAAUUUUUUGUUACUGUAAAUAUUUUAAUUUCCCUUGUUUUAUGGGAAUUCUUUCAACUGAAAGAGGUCAGAGGACAUUAUCAUCUUUUGAUUCAUGUGAGUGAUCACUGAUUGAGGUGAGAUUUUUUUCUGUAAAUUUGCUUUUCCGCUUAUUUUUUCUUGCUACUGUCUGAGCUAUUCUCGCAUUACCAGAAUGGGUUCUUGGCAAAGGUAUAUUCUGCAUUAUGAUGAUUGGUCCAUUAAUGUGUAUGUGGUUGCAGUCUCCAAGCACUGCACAAAUUGUCGGUGCUAUUUGGACGAUUGUCCAUGUCUGCCUCAAUUGAAGCAGAUAAUAUAAGAUUGUUGGUGUCUUAUUUUGUA
Tarenaya hassleriana is the source of this 5442-nucleotide RNA transcript. RefSeq lists it as uncharacterized. The transcript is spliced from 12 exons. The record is from RefSeq and is a predicted model, not a curated record. Lineage: Eukaryota; Viridiplantae; Streptophyta; Magnoliopsida; Brassicales; Cleomaceae.